This 426-nucleotide ribosomal RNA is filed under the name uncultured bacterium. RNAcentral's name for it is "bacterial SSU rRNA". It matches the Rfam family "Bacterial small subunit ribosomal RNA", at positions 401 to 839 of the family's 1533-position model. The record is from RNAcentral.
GCGGGAUGACGGCCUUCGGGUUGUAAACCGCUUUCAGCAGGGACGAAGCGCAAGUGACGGUACCUGCAGAAGAAGCACCGGCUAACUACGUGCCAGCAGCCGCGGUGAUACGUAGGGUGCGAGCGUUGUCCGGAUUUAUUGGGCGUAAAGAGCUUGUAGGCGGUUAGUCGCGUCGUAAGUGCAAACUCAGGGCUUAACCCUGAGCCUGCUUUCGAUACGGGCUGACUAGAGGAAGGUAGGGGAGAAUGGAAUUCCCGGUGGAGCGGUGGAAUGCGCAGAUAUCGGGAGGAACACCAGUGGCGAAGGCGGUUCUCUGGACCUUUCCUGACGCUGAGAAGCGAAAGCGUGGGGAGCAAACAGGCUUAGAUACCCUGGUAGUCCACGCCGUAAACGGUGGGUACUAGGUGUGGGGGACAUUCCACGUUC